CCUACGGGGGGCAGCAGUGAGGAAUAUUGGUCAAUGGACGAGAGUCUGAACCAGCCAAGUAGCGUGAAGGAUGACUGCCCUAUGGGUUGUAAACUUCUUUUAUAUGGGAAUAAAACGUUCCACGUGUGGGAUUUUGUAUGUACCAUAUGAAUAAGGAUCGGCUAACUCCGUGCCAGCAGCCGCGGUAAUACGGAGGAUCCGAGCGUUAUCCGGAUUUAUUGGGUUUAAAGGGAGCGUAGGUGGAUUGUUAAGUCAGUUGUGAAAGUUUGCGGCUCAACCGUAAAAUUGCAGUUGAAACUGGCAGUCUUGAGUACAGUAGAGGUGGGCGGAAUUCGUGGUGUAGCGGUGAAAUGCUUAGAUAUCACGAAGAACUCCGAUUGCGAUGGCAGUUCACUGGACUGCAACUGACACUGAGGCUCGAAAGUGUGGGUAUCAAACAGGAUUAGAUACCCUUGUAGUC
RNAcentral lists this ribosomal RNA (460 nucleotides) under uncultured bacterium. RNAcentral's name for it is "partial 16S ribosomal RNA". It matches the Rfam family "Bacterial small subunit ribosomal RNA", at positions 338 to 795 of the family's 1533-position model. The record is from RNAcentral.